RNAcentral lists this ribosomal RNA (253 nucleotides) under uncultured bacterium. RNAcentral's name for it is "partial 16S ribosomal RNA". It matches the Rfam family "Bacterial small subunit ribosomal RNA", at positions 524 to 776 of the family's 1533-position model. The record is from RNAcentral.
UACGUAGGGCGCAAGCGUUAUCCGGAAUUAUUGGGUGUAAAGAGCUCGUAGGCGGUUUGUCGCGUCUGCCGUGAAAGUCCGGGGCUCAACUCCGGAUCUGCGGUGGGUACGGGCAGACUAGAGUGAUGUAGGGGAGACUGGAAUUCCUGGUGUAGCGGUGAAAUGCGCAGAUAUCAGGAGGAACACCGAUGGCGAAGGCAGGUCUCUGGGCAUUAACUGACGCUGAGGAGCGAAAGCAUGGGGAGCGAACAGG